UCGUUAUACGUUUCUUUGGUUCUAUACUUUGCAUUUACACUUUGUUUUUACAUUUUGCAUUUUAUUUCCACAUUUGCUUCCAUACUUUACAUUUAGUUUGGUAUCAUAGCAUUUUCAUUUUUAAUAAAUUCUCCAUAGAAUUGUUUUAGUAAUACUUUUAAGAUGGUAAAAGUCUCUUAAAUUUGAUCAUCAAUUUUAGGUCAUGUGACAUGAUUGGAUGCUUUACUUACAUGAUAUUGGUUUAAAUGGUGGUGGAUUCCUUUUUGAUUAAUCAAGCUUGAUUGCAUUACAAUACCUAGAGAGGACCACUUAAAGCCUAAACUCUAUUAUUUUCUUUGUAUGGCAUGUACUCAUAGUAAUUGAACUCUAGAACUUGCUUAGUUUCUUUUCAAAGUCACAAUUGCAUAUGUAUGCAUGGAAAUAAAGGAUAUUUGUCAUUCUUGUUCUAUCAUAAUUUCUAAUUCCUUUUCCCACAAUCUUCUUGUAACAUUCUCAUCUAGCAUUCUAAUUCUUAAUUCUCUUUGCUUGUCAUAUUUCUUUUAUUUCGUUGAGAGUUUUGGAUUAAUUGCUUGAUGAGUUAGCUUGACUAGAUGAGCAAAGAAUUAAGUGUGGGGGAGGAUUUGCAUGAAAUCAAAGAUCAUAAAGGCUUUGGAGGGUUUAAGGAGUACUAAAUUCUAUUUUUAAAGCAUAGUCUAUUUUUGGGCUUGUUAUAGUUUGAAGAUUCUAUUGCUACAAUUUUGGAUUUACUGGAGUUUCAAUCAAUAACCAAUAGAUUGGAUUGAAGCUUGGUGUUGAGUAAUACAUGAACCUUAAUCUUGAAAGAGAAUUCAAGCUAUUGUAUCAAAAUUGAUGUGCUGAUUUCAACAGUUGCGGAGACUUGGUUAGCUAAUUGUUAGGAGGCUGCAUGAAUUUCCACUUAUACUAUAUGGGUGCAUUAUGCUUCAAUCAGAUUAUUCAUGCUUUUCAGAAUGGAAAGUUAAAGAAGUGCAGAAAUAAAAGGGAAACAAAUUCUGCUAGUGUGGCAAUAGUGGAGUAGCAAAUGGAGCAGUGACAACAACAUAACAGAUCUGAUUUCUGAUAUUGCUAUUGCUGAGUUUGGUUUUGAUUAGCAUCUGUUGUGAAUCAAAGGUAGACUUGACUUGCUGAGAAUUCGUGAUAAGAGUUUGGAAGUGUAGGAAAAACAAAAGUGUGGCAGUGAAUCAUGGAUGCAUGUUAAUUUAAUGGUGCUGAUUUUUUGAAUUGUCCAAUUUCAUUGUAGUGGAAGGAAUCAGUAAAAAGAGGUGGAAGUUGUGCAACCAUUGGAAGCAGAAAUCAGAUAUCAUUGGAAGCAGGAAGCAGGAAAGCAACGGAACAGAGACAGAUAAAAAGAAGAGAACCUGCAGAAUAAUUAUACAAACAGAUGCAGAAAUAUGUAGAAAUUUGUUUGGAAAUACAAGAUUUUGUGCCAAAAGUGUAUCAAAUAUUAGGGACAACAAUUAAACAAGUGAGAAAUUUAAGUGAAGCUUUGCUAAUUCAGACACAAAUGGUAUUCUUGUAUUUCUAUGUCUUCUACAAAUUGAAGCAACAUAUUUCUAAAAAAAUCUGCUGCUGAAAAGUGGAAAUAGGAAGCUGAAGGUUAGGAAUUUGUUGCUGGAAAUGGAAAUGAAAGUAAUGUUUUCUGAAUUACACAAAAAGAAACCAUUUUUCAAGGAGCAGGAGUUAAAUGCAAUGAAGAAACAAGUUUUAGAGACUGUAAUUGGGAGUUAAAUGCAGAAUCCAGUAAGGGCAACAAGAAACAAAACAUAAUUCUGUUUUAAUUGUGUAUCAAGUGUGUGCCAAAAUUUUGUCAGCAAACUUCAAAUCAUUGAAGAACUUAAGUGAAGAUCUUGUAUUUCCAAUAACAAAUGGUGGUUAAUUAGUGAAGAAGUCUCGAGCAACAGAUUUAAGAAAUGCAAUUUGAAUAUUGGAAUUGUAAUGCUAAAUCUAGAAGUGGUUGAAAUGUCUAACUGAAGUAGUCAGUUCAGAAAUGCAGAGAGGGAUUUCUGGUUAGUUGAGCAUUGAUAUGUUAUGAAUAUUGGUAGUUUGUCCAAAAUAUCAAAAUUUCAAGACAUCAAAAGGUAGCAAAUUGUGAACCAAAAGUCUGCACUAAUUUACUGGAUUAGUAUUUCUUAUACACUGGAUUUUUAGAAUUCUACACUGGAAUUUAAUUUCCAGUUUUCUGAUUGAAGCUAAAUUCUGAAAUUACUGAGCUGAAUUCAUUACUUCACUGCACAUCUCAUAAUUAUGCAGAAACUUGAUGAUAAUUAUGCAUUCCCUAAUUUUUGAAACUGAAGAUUCAGGAGUAGUUGGAUUGCUAAAUGAAUCUUAGUAUUUUCCAUUCGGGGUGCAAAAGUAAGCUUCCAUCUGCAACAAACUACAAGUGAGACCAUGCCAAUGAAUUCAGGAAAAUGAAUCAGUAGGAAAAAGAACCUGAAUUCAUAUUGCUGGAAUUGAUUUCUGAGCUGCUGAAACUUAAGCUUUAAAUCUGAAAUUCUGAUUUUGAAUUUUGAAUUCUGAAAUUGGAUUGCUGGAAUAGGAGCUGCAGUUUUCUUGUUUGUGUGUGCUAGUUUUUGUAUGAAGAUCCAAACUUUUGGUAGUUCUUGUUUGCUACUAUGCUCCUUCCUUUGCCUUUUGUAUUGUUUCUAUAAUUCUGUAUAGCUUGAAGCUAUUCUGAAACAGGGAGGGCAGUGGUAAUAAUCAUAGAAAGCUUUGUGUUGUAGGUGGUUUCCUCCUAGCAACCUGUAAUCAUCUGCUGGUGUUUGCUUAAUUCACUUAGUGGAUGAAAUUGCCAUGAGAUCGCACUAGGGUGAUGCUUACAUUUGGGUUGACUGUUUUCUGCAAUUGCUGUUGCUAAUUCAGAAGAAAUGUAGAAACAAUGAAAUGAAGCAGAAAAUCUUCAAUUGUAGAAGCAGAAAUGAAUUGCUGAAUCUGGGCAGUGCUGAAUUUGGACAGUAGGCAAACUCUGAGAAAUUGUGAGUGCAGAUUUUCAGAAUUGAAUCAUGAAUCUGAAUUCAUGAGUUUAAUCUCUUGCUACUUUGGUUGAAUCCUGGUUAAUUCUAAAUAGAUUGCACUUGAACUACAAAUCCAGAAGCUAUAGAGGAAAGGAAAGGGCAAGGUGUUGAUGUCACUGUCGAUUUCAGAUGUUGCUGCUGUAAAACUUAAUAUGUAUGGAAGAAUCUAGCACGUCAGAAAUGAACUGAUCAGCCUAGUGCAUGGUGCAAGGAAAAAAAUUUCAGAAUCAGCCUAGUUCAGUUGUUGUUUCUGUUUUCAGUCUGAUUUUUGUUCUGAAUUGCAGGACUGGAGGAGAUUAGAAAAGGAAAAGAGUGAUGAAUUAAACCCAUCAAGUUCUUGCUGUCUAAAUUUUGAUGUUUAUCCAGCAAAUGCAGAUCUAAAUGUCUGAUACAGAAUCCUGCCUUUAUUUACGGCCCAUUGUACACCUCAAGCAAAUCAGAUAUAAUUUCAUGAGUUGCAGAAUUGAAAUUAAAAGUCUAGCAGAUUCUUAAACUGUAGUUGAAUCUGAAUUCAGAAUUGGUGUGAUUUGUUUGAAACAAGUGUUGUGCCACUUAUGGUUGAUGUGUCUGGUCAGCUUGGUUUGGAGUUUAAUAUCCUGUUUAUUUAGUGUUAAAUGAGAUUCUCGAAUAGGCUUAACCUUACAAGUCUUAUGCUGAAAGACUUUCAGAUUGCUAAUUCUGAAACUUUCUUUGGAAGCAUUAACUCUGUGAAGUUGAAUUCUGGAUUCUAGAUGCAGAAAAAAAAAAAUCUGUUUGUCAAUUAAAUUCUGAAAAUUCUCAGAGAAGUGCAAGAUGGUGAUAGGGAGAGUUGGUUGGAGAAGAGCUAAGUUUGGAAUUGGCUAACUUCUGGAUAUUGAAUUGUGAGAAGAAACGAAGCAGAAGAGAGAAAAAAAAACCCUGCAGAACAUGAAGGAACUAUAAAUACUGCUCGUGCCAAAUCUUCAAGCUUUUCCUGAUCAGUAGCAAACUAAAUUAAAGAUGAACUCUUAAUGAUUUAAUUUGAAACUCAUUUGAAAUUUGGAUUUCUGGAAUGCUGAAGUUGGAACCCUGUUUAGUGCCAAUUUUUCAUGUUGAUUUUGCAGCAAUCAGGAUUCCAUCUCCUAAAGGUUGCAGCACUUAAAUGAAAGUCUUGACAAAACUAAAUUCUUCUUGAGAUAAAUUGAGAUUUCCUUGAAUUAUAAAAUCUGUAUUGAAGAUCAGAAGUCAUGUGCAGAAUUCUUACUAAUUUCACAUAGUAAGAAACACAUAUUUUUGAGUUCACAGAACAGCCUCUGAUAUCUGAAGAAGAUGGAAUUGCAGAAUCCAGAAAAUGCAGAAAUGUUAAGUCUGAAUGAAGAACAUGCAAUUCUUACUAAUUUCACAUAGUAAGAAACACAUAUUUUUGAGUUCACAGAACAGCCUCUGAUAUCUGAAGAAGAUGGAAUUGCAGAAUCCAGAAAAUGCAGAAAUGUUAAGUCUGAAUGAAGAACAUGCAAUUAUGUAUCAGUUUUGUGUGCUAAAUUGUGGAUGCAAUUUCUGUUGGAGCAAUCCCAAUGGUCUGUGGGACCAUGUGUUUUGGUGUUUGGGCAAAGGAUUUAAGUUAGGAUUACCCUCGUUA
Molecule: long non-coding RNA, 4626 nt
Organism: Zingiber officinale
Lineage: Eukaryota; Viridiplantae; Streptophyta; Magnoliopsida; Zingiberales; Zingiberaceae
Exons: 2
Source: RefSeq, a predicted model, not a curated record